This 5750-nucleotide long non-coding RNA is filed under the name Taeniopygia guttata (zebra finch). RNAcentral's name for it is "lncRNA (ENSTGUG00000025363.1)". Lineage: Eukaryota; Metazoa; Chordata; Aves; Passeriformes; Estrildidae. The record is from RNAcentral.
GAGCCUAAGACCCAAACAAGGCAGGUUCAAGAAAAGAUAUUUAGAGGUAAUUAACAGCAAGUGUUAAAAGGAGAGGUGUUUAAGGGGCUCUACCUUUCAGGUUGGGCACCUGAGCCAGCUGGGACGGUGGACUGGCAGCUCCCCUUAUGAGGAUCAGAAGCCCAGCAGUGCUGUUGCAGGUAAGUAGCUACACUGCAUUUUUUGAGUGAAAAUUACUAGUUAUCUCUCUAUUUUCUUUUUAAAACACAGCAAGAGGAAGAAUUUGUAGUUUUAUUGCCUUUUACGUAACCUUCCACAGGUAGAGUGGUUGAAAAAUUGAAGAUUUUUUUUUUGUUUGCACAUGUUGUGAGUGGUUCUGAAUUGUACCUUUGAGCGUGGGGUUUUGACUAUAAUGGAAAAUGAGGAGGGUUUGUCCUCUUUGGUGAGACACCCAAGCUUUGUGGCAGGGCGUGCAAACUCAUGGGCUUCUGCAGAGAGCACACAGGAGAGCUGGAAAGCUGAAAAGGAAGGGGAGUUGUUGUAUUCCCUACCCUAUUUUUAGCUAAUACUGUUAUGAUACAAAAUGUUUUCUACAGACGUGAGAGCGGUUUUAGAAACUGUAAAGCACAGAAUUACAAAAUUAUGAGGAAUGGGGAUUAGGGCUCUAAUGAGAGGAUUUUGCUGACUUUUCUGUGGUGUAUCUUGACCUCAAUAUGACAUUUGUCUUCGUUUAUCAUUAAUAUGCAUCUUCUUGGCAACUGAUGAUAAAAAAUUAUGGGUUUUUUUUUUAUGUAACAAAGAAGAAAGUAUUUCUUUUUGCUUAUAGCUACAGGAGCAAGCUUGGUCUUCUCUCCCAUAGCAAUGUGGCUAUCCUGAGAAAGCUCUGUAAGAGCAGGUGCCAUUACUAUUAAUCUCUCCGUGGGUCUGUCAGCAUUACUAGGCAGAAUUCUAGCUUGGAGUUAUUAUUCCCCUCAAAUGUUGUGAUAACAUUUAUUUUGAGAAGAAGUGAGGUAAGAAGUGACCAGCUCAGUCUCACUUCAGCCUGCUCCAAGGUACCCGCGGUCCUGGCUGGAGGAACACGACGUUUUCAGCUCCGUUCUGAUGACAAGGAAGCCUUUUCUCCACUCAGAGGGUGGAAAGGUGCCAAGAGCAGCCCCAUUAUUUGGCAGGCAGGAGGUAACCUUACAGUAAACAGCUGUCAGCUUCACAGUCUGGCUGAAUUUUAAUAGCUCAGAGACUAAAGAGAGUUACGGUUUUGUCUGACCCCACGGGGUCUGGGCUGAAUUACUCUGGGCUGCACUGAGGCUAUCACAUUAGGGUCAGGUGACUUGUCUAUAUAAAUUCCUCAAACGUGCCAUUAAAAUGUCAGUUCUUAACUUAGCUGGAGCUAUAAAGCACUUCAGCACAGUUUAAAUCUCUGAUCUCGUAUAAAACAAUCAAAACAGAAUAAAAAGAAUAUUGUGUGGCUGGAGGCACUGUCACUUUUAGCCACGUGCAGGUGGAUGCCAUUGCUCCUGAUCAUUUUUAGUGAGGCUUAGUCCAGGUAAAAUAAUGUAUUAUUUACUAGCAAACUUAAAACAUUUGGCUUUCUAACUUAAUUCCAGUGUGUCAAUCCCUUUACUCAUUCUUGGAUGUUCAUUAAAAUAUAAGAAGGAUUCCCAGGCACACAAAAUAUGGACAACUACUUAAAAAAAUCACCCUAUUUUAAGAGAAAUACUCAUGGUGAAUAUUAGCACUCCCAGAAUAUUGAUAGAGAUUGGAAAGCAGAAAGCAACUUUUAAAUCAGGCCAGUGGCAAGUGCCAGUCUGAAUCAUAGCCUGGAAAAAGGGGGAAAAAAUCCCCAAGCACACCGUUUGGAGCAGAUUGUGCUGAAGCAAUGAUUUAUGACCAUUUCUUAUGCAUAAAGAAAGAACAGUUAAGUCUGUACUGUGAUGCUGCAGUUAGGCAAGUACCUUCAGUUGCUGCUGUGGAGCAGCACAUGAACUCACCUAUCUGUCAGUGACAGCAGACAAUUAAAGCAGUAAUUUAAUUGGGGAUUGUGGAGCAAAGAGUGCUGGGAAGAAUAUUGAUACCUUAAUAAAGGCUCAAGCUGUGGUAAUGGGUCCUGGUGGUAAUGUGCAGCAUGAUGAACUAGGGUUUUGAUUUGAGGAAAGUUAUACAGAGAUACAAAACGAGUGAAAAAUUACAAGUCACAGGUGAUUGGUUACGUGUGUUGUCAGAAUAAGGCUUGUCUGCCUGCACCUGGCUCAUGAAUACACACCUGCAUCCUUGUGCUGCUUUUCUUACAGUUUGGAACGAGCCUGUGAAUUUUCUAACAGUGCAUCUGCCCACCAAAGCACUGCCUGUCACAUAAGGUGAGGGCAGAUAUACUCUCCUCUUCCUAUGUUUUAAGCUCUAAUCUUUAUAUUAUUCUGAUACUUCUGCUCCAUAGGAGUCAGAAAUCCUCCAGCACUUCUCAAAAAAAAUUAUCCUGCAGUGCUGAUGAGUGCUUCUUCAAAAUGGAUGCUGUUUGGAAGAUAAACUUCAGGAAAAGCCAUUGCAAGUUUUCUUGAUUACCCAUCUUUUAUGUCCCCAGUAGACAAGCACAUACCAAAUUCGUGAGAGAAACAUCAUAUUUCUUUAAUGAAAACAAGGCAGAGAUAUAAAAUUCCUCCUAAUGCCUUAUCAAUAUCAAUUCUCUUUUGAUAUCAAUGCAAGUUCAUUUUCUCAAUACCUCACCAAAGUCAUGGAGCACCUUUGGUACUCCAAGUUUAUUUCCAGAGACUUGGACCUCUUCACUUAGGACUGGAUUUAUUGCCUCUGAAAAAAUGCAGGCAAAACAGGCUUUAUGCAGAAGAAAGUGGCAAAGCAGGAGGAUUGGGAAGUGGUACCCAUGGAAAAUGCAGAGCAGCUCCUCCAUAGCCAGUCCUCAGUCCCCUGGCUGAAAGCAGCAGCUAUUACAGCUGCAUUCCCAUACAUUAAAGCACAGCACUCCUACCUCCAAGAAAUUACUUAGACUUCCUUGUUCCUUUCCCAGCUGUAUCCAAAUUCCUCCCUGUGCUGCCCUGUGUGGAACCAUGAUGAACCUCAGUGUUGUGUGGGGUUUGUUCUGUUAAACUGGGUGUGAUAAAUCACAGUCAAAUCACGACUCUGAACGCUCCAGCAUUAGUUGGAAGCUCAAAUAUUGAGAGCUUAUCUUACUUAUUGCCAUGGCAAUCACCAUUAAAAUUAUUUUUAGCUUACAUUAAAGGUAAAAAAAAAGAGGAAAAAUCAAAAAGCAUUUGAAAUGUGAAGUACAAAGACUUUAAUUUAAAAAAAAAACCCAAUUCUGUGUCCCUUCAGUGAGGGGACCUUUUAUAAGUGAGCCCUGGGUCUGACAAUUUUGGAUUAUUAAAUUUUAUAUUAAGUGUCUUCUUGGGGACAAGGUAAAAAAAAAGGUGAGUGCAGCUAGGCUGGAGAUGCUGCUGGUCAUGGUCUGAUCUUGUUUUUAUGAAACAACUGAUCAUAACCUGAGCAUGAUGCAAUAUCUCUACCUUGGGUAACUCUGGUGGUCCCUUGCUGCCUCCUCCUAUCUCUCAAAUACAGAAUUUAGCAAUAGGUAUUUUAACGCACCAGAGUGCUGUGGUUUAAUUAAUAGUUCUUUUUUAGAGAGCUAUUUGUCAAUGUUUUUGCUGCUAGACAUUUCACUUUCUCAUCCUAAGUUCACAAAAGAAAGAUGGUACCUCUAAAGUAUUACGUAAUAAUUUAAUUUCAAAAUAUAAAAGUAAUUAAAAAACCCCUGCAUUCCUUGUUACAGUGUCUGCGAAAUGUACUGUCUCAAAGGCAUGAUAAAAGAGAACUCUCUUACUAGGGAUGUCAUAGGGGAUGGUGAAUAGAUACAGGUAAUUACGAUUUCAAAUGUCUAAUGACCUUUUCACUAAAGCACAAUGAACUUCUAUCAUGCUCUGUUUCUCUUGGUAGAAUAUGUGAUCUUCAUGCAUACAGAUGCACAAAAAAGUCCUUUAUUUUCUCACAGAGCAGCAUAUUCAAGAAGUUGCAUUGUAGUUACUAUUUCCCCCCAGAUGUUGGAGUGGGAUGUUUGAGAAAUAAAUGCCUUAAGUCUAUAUUACUCAGACCGUGGCCAGAAUUUGCAAUGCCUGGUGUUUCUGCAUCAUCUGUGCUGAAACUCGGUGAGAACUGAUGGAUGCCAGCAUAAACUGUGAGGCAGACAUAGGUGGUAGAGGCAGAUCAACAGGGACAUUUGCACCGAUGCAAUUCUCUGCUCUUUUGAGGAGUCACAAAGCAGUGACAGGUGCAGCAUCUGCCAAAUUGAAUUGUUUGUAGUGUGGCAGCCAGGAAUAUACCUCAGUUUGCUCAACAACAAAAGAUGUUUAAAUUAAAAAAAAAAAGUAGCAUUCAAAAGAAGAUCAAAAAUACCUAAUUACCAUUCAAACAAUAAGCUACAAUACUGAAAUGUUUCAUUAUAAAACGAACAAUAAAACUUCUGUGUUUUGUGUUUAGGGACAACCUGGAAAAUCAAGAGUUCUGAGACAGAAAAAUCAAACAUAUUGAAGGCUUUUGUGCUCCAAUUCUAGGGGAAAUGACAGUGCCUAUUGUUGCUGUCUGUGUUGUGAAGAUGUGAGUCUGAUGAUUAGGAAGCAGCAGUCCCUGCCAAAUAAUAUCAGAGCACUUUUUUAUACAGAAGUAUCAGAACUACUCAGAUGAUUCUGAUCACACCAUUUCUCACUGCUUUCACGUCUGGGCUAAGUGGGAAAUAGAAAGGUAGAAUCAAAAUAUCCUGUCAGAGAAGAGCACUUUUACUUGCUGCUUACAUUAAUCACAAUAUAUGGAGUUUCAACAGCUUGACCAUGACUCAGGUGUGUGGGAGAAUUGGGUAGAAUCACAUAAGAUUACUAAAUGGCUCCUUCAUUCUGGCUGGUGCUAUGCUCAUGCUGGAAUGCACUGCAACACUUUAAUGCUUUUCAUUAAAAAAAGUUCUCUGACUGUCAUAGUUCAGCCUUAGAAGAGAGUGGGGGGAAAAGAACUCAGGAUUUCUCACCUACUCACAGAGAAAUUUUGCUCAUUAGCCUUUGAUUAUUGCAUUGUGCAGUGAGAACAAAAAAGCCUUAACAUAAGCCAAUUUCUUGGCAAAUGUAGAAGUCCAUAAUUUCCUGUUUUAAAUGCAUGAAGCCAAAUUUGAACCAAUUUCAGUAUUUAUAUUGAGAACAGGAAGGCAAAAGGUGUCUUGGCUGAAUGGCUCCACUCUAACCUUCUGUGUUGGAGAGUUAUCUAUAAAGGUGAUGCUUUCUGGACAAAAGGAUUCAUUGAGUUAAUAACCUGAACAGUGAGGUAAAGAGUAAUUUACAGUCAUAGCUAGUGUGGAAGCCCUGUUGUUUCUUUAAUUGUGGUAUUGACUGGUAUUGCACUGCCAUAAAUUGUCCUGCAAGAAUGUAUGUCCACAAGCUUGAAAAUUUAGUCUGCCGUGAUUGAGACAAAAAAAGAACUGGCUUUCAGAACUUCACUGGUCUGUAAAAUAGCUAAAACAUUUUCCAGGAAUGAGAAAGAUGGUGUGAUUUGAUGCACAUUUUUAAAAAGAAUAUUGAAGUUAUACUUCCAUUUAAUUGAGCCAUUAAUCCUGGAAAAUUGGCUCCCACAUGUAACCUGAAACCAUACCAUAUUCUUUUACUUAUUUUCUGAUAUCACCAGCUGAACAUAUAUCACAGAAAAUAAAUCUGCCUUCUUGUUCAAAAUAUGAGCAAUUUCAAGAGAAAACACCAAGUUGAAGAGAAACCUGAAGGAAAAAAAAGAAAAAA